RNAcentral lists this long non-coding RNA (873 nucleotides) under Brassica napus (rape). Its description in RNAcentral is "long non-coding RNA (BNAP_LNC013499)". Lineage: Eukaryota; Viridiplantae; Streptophyta; Magnoliopsida; Brassicales; Brassicaceae. The record is from RNAcentral.
UACUUGAUAUGUUUAGUUAGGAUGUCAAAUUGAGUUCUAGACAUGUGUUCUUUACAAGGUUUCUCCCAAUGCAUGAAUGCAAUCUAAAUGCUUCUAGACUCAAUCCGAAAGAUGCAAAUGGAUCAAGUGAAACUACAUGAAGAUUUUUUAAAAAAAAUCAAAUUUUUAUGAAUUUUCUAUGCAAAUAAGUAUUCACAAUGCAAUGCAUGAGACUCAUGGCAAGUAAACAAAACAGAAAAUGAUGUGAGAUAGUAGACUCUCCCCCAAACUUACUUCACACAGUCCCUUGUGUGAGAGUAAGCUCAAAGAAGAGAUCCAAGGGAAAGAAAUAAACAUGAAAAGUAAAUAUGUACAAGGUUGGAGUGACACUUACUUGGAGUUAUUGGCUGAAUUGGGUGGUAGAGGACCCUUGGCCUCGGGUUUGUUUCACCAUGGACAUGGACUGAAGGGGAGAAGGCAAGUGUCUAGAGUCACAAUGCUUCACAUCAGCCAAGGUAAGUAAGACUUGACCUGAAAAAUCUCAACCAUGCUUAUUAAAUAACCUAAAAAGAGAAGAUAAAAAAUAUAUAUACAAUGGAUAAACAUGAGAUUUCCUCCCAAGUGAGCUUGUUUUAAGUCUCUAGCUUGACUUUGUGUGCUUGUUAAUCAUAGGUAUCAAAAGGUUGAGCCAAUGCACCUUUGGUCCUUCUCCUACAAGAACAAGGAACCAAGUAUGCAAAGGAGCACACUACUAUCCAUAGAAAAUAGACAGAUUUUUCCUCAAAGAGCUUCACUAAAGAUGUGACAUGAAUUAUGAAAUGCUCCUUGAGGUUCAGAUGGUCAUGAGAAUCAAAUGCAUAUGGUGGAAACACACAGUCAACUACAGGCUCAAAC